CCCUGGUGGGAAACUGGCGUUUAAAUAUACAUAUAAAUAUUUUCCCAAGGCUGGUGGGGGGGAAAUUGAGUUUGCAUCAGAACUGCCCCCCACCCCAGGUCAUGCAUGGUGCCAGCCAUACAGUGCUCAGCCUGCCAAAAAAGGUGAGUGCAUGCUGGGGGUGGGGGUGCAUUCAAAGCUGGCAGCCCAGUAAUCCAGAGGGAAGCGGGAGAGAGAGACACACACAGAGACACAGUAGCAGCCGCUGCAGAGGGAAUCAUAGGCUGCAAGAAAAGGAAGAGUGUGUGAACCAGAUUUACCAGAUUUGGAGGUGAAAAAGGCAGGCCAACCUGCUGGAAAAACCUGAUACCAACAUUUGGCAGGAAAAGCCCAUUUUGCUAACCAAGAGCAGUUGUCACAUCUUGCUGCUUGACAAUCAUCACUCCAAGGGAAUUGUACCGAUGUAAGUCUAGAGGGCACUUCCCUAGAGAUCUGUGGCUUUCCUGCGUUGGAAGCAAGACACAGGGAGACUGGAACGGGUGAAGGAGAAGGAAGGAAGAGGAGGAGCAGCUCCCACCCCAGGUCUGGAAAUGCACGAGCAGGACACAGCUGGCUCCAAGAUGUGGGACACGGUGCAAGGAGAGGGAAAGCGAGGCCCACAGGUGGUUCACGUUGGGAGCAUCGGCACUUUCCUGAGCAAGGCUCCUCCGCAGCAGAUUAAGCGGGAACCAGAGGAGGGUCUGCAGCAAUACUGGGAAUCCCAGUGGCAGGAGUUCCUGAAGAGCGUGCAGGCUCCGGACUCAGGAUCGCUGCCCCUGCCUGUAUCCGGGGAGGAGCUGAAAGAUUACCAGGCCUCCUUCAGAGGCGUCGCUGAUGCCGCUCAGUGGUCCAGAGGAGGGUGGGUGACUCAGAGCCUGCCGGGCCUCAGCGGAGAAGCCCAGAAGGUCUACCGGAGCCUGGAUUCCUUUGUGAAAGUGAAGGAAGAGUUGCUGGCCGAGGACGCCAUCCGCUCGGAGAUGCGGCGCCAGCACUUCCGGCAGUUCUGCUACCAGGAGGCCAAAGGGCCCCGGGAGGUCUGCAGCCGGCUCCGGGAGCUUUGCCACCAGUGGCUGAAGCCCGAGAGGCACACCAAGGAGCAGAUCCUGGAGCUGCUGAUCCUGGAGCAGUUCCUGACCAUCCUGCCUCUGGAGAUGCAGAGCUGGGUCAGGGAGAGCAGUCCGGAGAGCUGCAGCCAGGCGGUGGCCCUGGCAGAGGACUUCCUGAUGGGGAGGCGAGACGGCAAGAGAUGGGGGCCACAGGUCCCAGGGCCUUUUGUUGAGGUUGCUGUAAAUUCCUCUGAAGCAGAGCAGGUUCUGUCGGAGACUUGGAACAGGCAGCUUUGCAGAGUAGCUAAGCACGAACUGAGCAAAGAUGGAAACCCACAGGGUGAUGGGCAGACAGCAAAUCAUCUUCAUCCAGAAGGUUCCAGUCAAGUGGAAUCGCACGACGCAUCCAUGAGAAUAGGCUUGGUUUUCCAACACUAUGAGGAGGGGACGAUGCCUUUUGGUCAGCAAGGAACAGCAAGUAAGCAGGGGAAAGACCCGGAAAACAGGAUGGAGGGCACUGUUGCCUGCUGGCAAAGUGAUUUCAACGAGAAAGAAACCAAAGCCCGUCAUUGUGAAGAACUAAAAACUUGCACCAGUGGCGAAGGAAGCUUCAGACCGAGUGGAGGCCUUCUUAAGCAUGAACCUAUCCUCACAGAUGAGAAAACGUUCAAGCCCUCGGACUGCCGGGAAAACUUCCCUCAUGGUUCCAGCCUCGUUCCGCAUGAGAGGAACCAUGCCGGGGACAGGCGGUUCAAGUGCUCCGAGUGUGGGAAGAGCUUCAAUCAGAAGCGCUAUCUCACUGGGCACAAGCGAAUCCACAAAGGAGAAACCCCGUACAAAUGCUCAGACUGCGGGAGGAGCUUCAACCGGAAAUGGAAUCUCAUAGCGCACAAGAGAAUCCACUCGGGAGAGAACCCAUAUAAGUGCUCAGACUGCGGGAAGACGUUCAGUCAGAAGGGAAACCUCAUGACCCACGUGCGAAUCCACACAGGAGAGAAGCCCUACAAGUGUGCUGAGUGUGGGAAAAGAUUCAGCCAGAGGGCAGGCCUUACGUCACACAGGAAAAGCCAUAUAAAAAUCAACACUGUAGGGAAAGCAACCGUUGGUUACCUGAUUUUCUUAAACCUCAGCGAAUCCGCACAGGAGGGAAGCCCUGUAGAAGCUUAAGAGUGUGAAGGAAAACUUCCUUCCGAACUUAAAAUAUUCUGAGUAGGAAACAUAAAUCACAUAGGAGAAAACCCUUAAGAUGUCUGACUGUACGAGAAACAGUGUGGGGCCGUGUAUUAUUAAGGAUCAGGAAGCCUCUAGGAGGGGAAGGGUUCUCUUAAUUCUUUGACUGACUAGAGCAGAACCUUCUUUCAUAACUUUGGACAGAUCAGAGCCAGUUUGCGCAAGCAACAGAUCUUGCUGCCAAACUGUUGCUGGACUGUACCACUUUAGACUGAUGAGAAGGGUGGAUUUCAUAAUUUAAAACACCUGCACACACACCCUCCCUCCCUCCCUCUCGCUCUAGUAAAAAAACCUGUUUGUGGGACUUUCCUCCCUGCCAUCUAGAUCUUCUCCCUGCUAGUGCAUGCUAGUUUUCCAUCUGCAGGGGCUUUAGUGGUACAGUUCAGAAGCAGUUUUACCAUGUGAUCUUCUGCUUGUGUAGUCUUCUGAGAAACCUAUGAUUUGUGCUUUAUGGGAAGCCCUCAAAAAGCCAUAAAGCCCUUUUUGGUAUAGUGUGGCUUUAUUAAUCCCAGGGUUCACAGAAUUACUGAAGUGCAUGACAGCUCUUAUUCAGCACAAACAGGUCCUGGUGUGCGUAGAAAGCAAAAUUUACCCGACCUUGCAAUCUGGUUGACAUGUGAGUUUGAGAAUGCAAAAACCAUCUUGCAAAAUCAAACUAUGCUUCAUCUAAUUCAGGGGUGGGCAGGUUUAAAACUUUUUUUCUUUUUUGGAGCUGGAUCAGUUGCAAAACGGCAGCUUGUACAAAAAUUUGCUUUGACAGAAUACAGAAUUUUAACAUCAAAAUUCCUGAAUUCUAGGAGAAUUUUGUUGCAAGACAGGAUGGGAGCAAGAGGCGCUGCUUUGUGGUGGAAGAAACUGGAGAUAAAUUAAUGGGAGAGAAAGUAAAAAGCAACUCUGAGCACUCAAAGAGAGAGAGAUUAAAAACGCCACAGCCCUGCACCCAAUCAGACAGCCAAUCAGACAGCUGUUUGGGGGUGGUUCACGAUUAAAAAAAAAAUUUUUUUAAUUUUAAACUUAAAAAUAAAUUUUACUUAUUGCCUCCCAAUUCGGGGGCGGGGGGGUGUCUCCAGAAGUUUCCUUCCCCCCGCUGGCCUCCAUUUAUGUCCAGAUCACCCAAUUUGGGCAGUCUUCAGCCCGUUCUGGGCCUGCCCUCUGUUGUGGCGGCCAUUUUGGAGGCCUCCGCGCAUGCUCAGUGGGUCUCUACGUGGCUGGGAUAUGAUCCACACAUCUGAAAUUUCACAAUCAGGGCAUGAAUGAGAUGGUGACCCCCUUUGUCUGUCCUUGGUACCUGGUAUUCAGGGAAUUUUCCAGUCCAAGCAACCAGGGAUGGAAGAUGGCUUGCCUUGGAAGAAUCCACAGUCACCUCAGCAAAUGGUGCAGACACCUGAAACAGCACUUGACAUUUCUGACUUGCAUGAAGAUUCGAGGCAAGGGCAAAGUUAGCUUUGAAGGUAAACCGGCUUCUCCCCACUGCCCCUUCAUUUGCAACCUGGGAUUCCCUACCUCUCCUAGUUUCUUUCUCUCCAAAAGACGUCCCCUUCAAAACUCACCUCUCCCUGCAAACAGCUGUGCACCAUCCUGUUGUGUACCUUGUCUGUGCUCUUCUCUAUACAGUAUUGAUGACUAUGUGUAUUUGUGUGGGUUGGCUUAGGGGAGGAAUCUAGUUCACUGAUUGGUUGAUUUGACUUUUGUAUUUAGUCGUGUCUGCAUCCUCACCACUGUUUCAGCUUCUGAGCUGUAAAGAAGUAGUUCUGUUUUCUCCUGGACAGGAGAUUGCUCCUUUGUUAUUUUUCCAUCUGCUAAUAAAUACAAGCCUCGUCAUUUUAUCCUCAA
RNA transcript from Hemicordylus capensis (graceful crag lizard), 4127 nucleotides. It is a transcript of the gene named zinc finger and SCAN domain-containing protein 31-like, with no coding region annotated. NCBI's taxonomy places the organism in Eukaryota, Metazoa, Chordata, Lepidosauria, Squamata, Cordylidae. The transcript has 6 exons. The record is from RefSeq and is a predicted model, not a curated record.